GUCGGUGUCUGCUAUUCGAAGCUCAAGCCCAUUACAUAUUUGAAACGAUCUUUAGAACACGACUCAGUGAAACAGGAACAACUCACAGAUAUUGGAAUUACUAGGAGGAACUCUAUUAGAACAAAGAAGUGAGGAUUACUUAACAAACUCAAUACGUUUAUAUAUCAGUAUCAGAAAAGAGGAAAGAAGAGGGAAUUACUGAAGUAAUUGAAACUACAAAUCAAAAUGGAAUAGAAAGGCUGGAAGUUCAUCUUUUCCAGUCCAGUUGGAGUGACAUCAAAGUAAUUGGUGCACUUUAGGUUGUAUUUUAGAAGAACUUUUUGUCAAAUUCUAUAAUUAAUGUGUCGAUGAUCACAGCAUGUAAUGAGUGAAGGAAAAGAGACUAAAGAAAAAACUGGCUCAAAAAGCUUCCCCACCGGAAACUUCAACACAAAAAGUGAGUUUACAGAAGGGUGCCUCUUCAAAAGUCUUUUUAAAACGCCCCACCAACGCAAGAAAUUGGAAUCAAUCAAAAUGAAAAGUUUAAAACCCAUUGGCUUAAGAUCAGCAACUGUUGGAUUCAUGUAAAAUUAGCAUGUUACAUCAUCGAUUCUAAUUUUAAUUGUGGCUUUGGCGUUAAUAAGAAUGUAAUCUGGGACGAAAAAUAAAAUAAAUGAACGUCAUUUCAUCCCUUAGUAACUUAGUAACAACUUUUAUACGUUUGUUUAUUGUAUUUUUCAGUUUCAGAUGAAAUUCUUAAUAGCGUCAAAGUCACAGUUGAUGAUUGAAAUGUAUUUUUUGACAUUUUUAAAUUAAAUAUAAAAGUUUUCAAUUA
Molecule: long non-coding RNA, 814 nt
Organism: Aethina tumida (small hive beetle)
Lineage: Eukaryota; Metazoa; Arthropoda; Insecta; Coleoptera; Nitidulidae
Exons: 2
Source: RefSeq, a predicted model, not a curated record